ACUGACGUAAAACUUAUCUAGCUUUUCUGUAAGUUCAGCUCUCAUAUCAUACAUACUCUAUCAUUCUAGGAUCUAGCAAAAUGUGAUUAUGAUUGAUUGUCACAUCAUGUGUACCCAGGGUAAAAGGGUGUUGCCUCAAUGUUUAAUUUGACCAAUAUUUGUGAAGCAAAACUUCUUCAGAAUAUCUCUAUUUUUCUUAAAUUUUCCUAUUCCACAAGGGUGGAAAACUUUAGUAGACAGUGUACAUCAAAAUGAUUGCUUUCAAAUCGGAGAACAGGGAUUGUCCCUAGAUGGCAUUGUAGUGUGAAGGAGAGCUAAUCAUUACGAACUUUGCCACUUUAGCUCUUCAAGGAGAUACUCGUACCUUAACAAUUAGUUUGACCUUUCAUUUGGGCAUAUGAGUAUGACAUUUAAUCCAUUAAGGGCACUUGAGUAAAGUUGUAAGAAAUGCAAUGGAAAGCCUAUCUAGUUGUGGAAACUUGUAUAUAGUAUGUUUAUGUUUACCCAUUCGACACUAAGACACCUAGAGAAAGGUGAGGAUCAACUUCAACCUCAUUAAAAGAAAGGUCAUCAUCUUUUGGUUUUUUCAAUGUCUAUAUGUGAUACCUAUAUAGGUUAGGUUGGCCAAAAUGGGCCUUUUCGACUUAGCUUCUUAGGCUCGAUUGAUGUGCCUUGUAACAUGUUGACAUGUGCCAUAGGUGGGUUGAUGUUACAGGUCCUGGCAUCAGCUUCAUUACCUUGUAUCACCAAACACCUUCUGAGGUGGAAAAUUUCAGGCAAUAAUAAUAUAUUGAGGUAGCAGCCUUUAACUCGGUCAUCCCAGGAUUGUACAGCUGUUAAAGGUAAAUCAUCAAUCACAAAAUUUGCGAUAGUUCUCCAUUUACAAAGAAAAUCUUCAAGUUCGACUAUGAGGAUAUCUGACAUUUCACCUUAAUCGAAUUACUAAUGAAACCUUGUAAUCAUAUGGGUAAGGUCGCAGGUACAUUUUUGAAAUUCCUACUCGAUCUAAGGUCUCUGAUAAUAUGUUAACAGAACUCUCAUUUCUAGUGGGGUAGUCUGUGGAGGAUUUAAUUGUCCCUUACCUGCAUGAAAGCUCCUUCCGAUGAGGUAUUGAGAUGGCGGUAUUCUUGAAAUCUUUCUGGAUAUGGGUGAGGUCAUUUCAUCUCUCACUGCUCCCUCAUUCUUUGAGUAUAGGUCUCUUAUCUACUCUUUUUUUCUUUUGAAAGAGCUGCAUCUUUUACUUCUAUCCUUUCUCCCUCUUGUUCUGACGUUGCUUCUUCUAUUCCUAUGUUUUUCUCAGUUUAACUAAAGAAUUUAUGCUAGGUUUUUUUACCAUCUUCUUGGAAGAACCACCAGAAUCUUGUCUAGGUCUUAGUCUAGAUAGAAAGCCAUUAGGACAGUGUUAUCUAAGAUUUUUUCAACCUUCAAGAUUUGCUUGUUAUAUCUGCUAAGGUAAUAUUUCAGAAAUUGGCUUUAUCCUUUUUUAAUACUUAACAAACAUUAAUUGGGUAUUGUCUUGGCCAUAGGACCUAUAAAUUUGGCCGAUAAUGUAGUAGCCAUGUGAAUCCAAGUUUCGAUCAACCUUUGCUCUCUAAACCAUCUUUGAGCUUUAUCUCGAAGUGUGAGGGAGAAAGCCUUGUACAUAAUGGUAUCACUGGCUCCUUGUAACUCCAUUAUAGACGCACUCUUGUCAAGGUGGCUAAUGGGGUUGCCCUCCACAUUGUAUCUAGUGAGCUAAGGAAUCUUCAAUUUUUAGGAGAGGUUUCACUAGGAUAUCCUCUGUAAAAGACGGGUAGUGAUUUGAGAAGUAUUCUUCUAUCUCCUUUUGCUUUGCCUCUAGAUCGACUAUUCAUUUUUUCAAACAACUUAGCUCAAGUUUUUUUUUCUAACCCAUUAAAGGGAUUGUUUUGAGUGGGAUUGGGUCACUCAUUCCUUAGUGGGGGAGAACUUUGCUUCCAAUCCAUCGAAUACACUUCCAUCUCUCUUAGGGCUUCAUUCUUCGAGAGGUGAGGUAUCUGUUUUGGAGAACUAUUCAUUUGAAAACUAUAGAUGCCUUCGAACAAGAGAUCGUAAGCUUUUACCUUCGAUUGGAGAUUCUAUCUCAAUUUUCGCUAUUCAAGUAGUGGGGUUUGCUUGCCUUGUGCAUCACAUGACAUUCAUGAGGCAUUCUAUGGCCUCUUUCGUUACAGUUAAUUUACGAUGUUUGAUUUCAGUGAUGGGGAUUCUGAGAUCAAUAAAGUUUGCAGGAGAAAGACUUUUUAAUGUAGUGUAGUACAUCAUCUUCCUUGUAGACAAUCUGACUUUGGGUACUUCUCAAGUGUUAAAAAUGUAGACUGUUUGCUUUAUAGGGCACUUCGUUUAGCGUCGCUUUUGAUGGAUAAAAUGAUGUGAUAGAUUAGACCAACUUAAAAUAAAUUUGAGAUGAUAAUUGCUCGAAUUAGAUGACAAAGCUGUGUUUCUUUGGGAAUUUUUUCUCUAAGUGAAUUACAGGGACUUAUUUUUCUGAUCCAAGGAAGGCAACAAGUUUUCAAAGAUCCAGCUCAACUUGAAGAUGAAUCAAAGACAAGAUCAAGAGCUACGGAGGAUCAAGGUAGCCACGGCAUGAGUUGUCUGAGAUGUAGAGGCUAAGAGCUCGAGUGCAACCAGCCGAAAAAAAAAUUUACAUGUUGGACAAGAAGGUGGGAUCAAGUUUGGUGGGUUGGAUUCAAGCUUUGGAAGUUAUAUGAAAAAAAAAAAAAAAAAAAAAAAAAGCAGCGUGGAAAAAAGCGUGCAUAACUUUCAGUUUGGGUGUUGGAUUUUUGCCCAUGAGUAUAAUCUGAAAAUAUCAUGAAAUUCUACACAUGAAAAAGAGAGAGUCAACAUUAAAGCUAUACAAUCGCAUAGCUCUUAAUAAGGGAUUCUGUCGCAUAACUAUUUACCGAGAGCAAACUGGCGGAUUUUGGUUCUUUUAUGCGAUCGCAUAGAAAAUAGCUACACGACCUCAUAGUUCAACCCCGAAAGUGAAUUUUUCAAUUUUCACGAAAUCUUUUAUUUUAGUAACUUUUGUAUUCUUUAGACUUUAAUUCCGUAUAGACUAGGGAUUUGCGGGUUUCCUAUAAAUGACUCAUUAUUCUAAAUUGUAAAUAACAUUCAUUCAUAUCAAUCGAGAGAUUACUUUUCUGAGCAUAUUUUGCUUUCAAUUCCUUGUUCUUCAUUGAAUAAAUUUCUAACUUAUAAAGAAUUA
This 3223-nucleotide long non-coding RNA is filed under the name Olea europaea subsp. europaea. Lineage: Eukaryota; Viridiplantae; Streptophyta; Magnoliopsida; Lamiales; Oleaceae. The record is from RNAcentral.